Molecule: unclassified non-coding RNA, 148 nt
Organism: Papio anubis (olive baboon)
Lineage: Eukaryota; Metazoa; Chordata; Mammalia; Primates; Cercopithecidae
Rfam family: Metazoan signal recognition particle RNA
About the family: The signal recognition particle (SRP) is a universally conserved ribonucleoprotein. It is involved in the co-translational targeting of proteins to membranes.
Source: Ensembl
GCCAGGCAUGGCGGUGCAUGCCUGUAGUCCCAGCUACUCAGGAGGCUGAGGCAGGAGAAUCACUUGAACCCAGGAGGCAGAGGCUGUAGUGAGCUGAGAUCGCACCACUGCACUCCAGCCUGGGUGACAGAGUGAGACUCUGUCUCAA